GCCAGACUUCAUGUACAGACAUUUCCUCCAUAAACAGAAUAUUCAGAAAACUGGAAAACCAAUCGUUCCAAAGGAAUAAGCAGUCCUCCCAUGGAAUUAAGCUGGGCUUGGCUACAGUCCAGGGCUGAUUACUCCUGCAAUUUCCCGUUCCUGAAAAUGAUGCAUACACAACCUUGGUCUCCCAGCAGCCCCAAAAUUACCCCAAACUCUGGGUCAAUGCAGACAUAAAUGUGCAAAACCCUCCUGCACUGAUGGGAAAUGAAGACCUGGCACAGAGGAACAGCAGCUCCGAGAGAUCUCCUGAGUCAGAAGCUGCACAGACAGUUUCAAAAAUAUCUUUGUUUGCCAAGGAGCCCGAGACAUCAGCCAGCCAAAGUGACAGCCCACAGCUUGAGUGUGAAUGUUCAGAGCUAAAUUCCAUUGGCAUGGAUUGGGUAUGAAGAGGAAUUGCACAAUGGAAGGAAGUUUUGACCAUCUGCCUUGCUAAUAUACAACUCAGAGAAAAAAUGGUGCUGAUCCUCUUGAAGAGGAUUGCUUUUUCUUUUUUAUUUUUAUUUUUUUCAUUUUCCUCUCUCCUUACUUUAAUUAAAGAAGCAAAAAAUGUGGUCAAAUUAUCCCUAAAGUGUGACACUCCAUUUUAGCAGAGCUCACAAGUCCUUACAAAUCCCCCAAAGAAUUCCAGCUGUUUCCCUGCAGCAUGCCAUGAAUACAGACAUAGACCUCCACCUAUUCAUAUUUUAUGGUAUUAUUUUGUAGUUGAUUCUGCUUUGAAUGGGAUGCUGGGCUUGAUAAGCUCCAGAGGUCCUUUAUAACCUCAAUUAUUCCACAAUUAUUCCAAGGAUUCUAAGGACUAAGAGGUGAACUAUACAUUUUGAAGCACUAACAGAAUUAUCAGAACAUAAAAUCAGAUUGAAACCAACCAACACUGAAAACCCCACCACAAUAAGAGGGUCUAUGGGUCACAGCCCAUGGAUUUUAAUUUGGAAGUACCCAAAUGCCAAGGCAGCAAGCGGGAAGAGGAUCCCAGGAUUUCCAUCUAUACUUACUAUCCAUCCAAUGAAUGCUGCCCAUAAGGAAUAAGUCAUGGCUCCAGCUCCUCUUAAUUCCCAGCAAUCAGGUGGGAUUCAGACUGGUGAGAUCAGCCAACUCCAGCUUUAAUUAAUUGCUGAAUGGAGUCAGUGCCUAGCGGAACGUUCCUUCUGCCCCCACCCUCUCUGCUGCAGCCCCAGAUAAAGAGUUCCAGGAACUGCCCAGCUGAGCUCAGGGAUGAGUUACAGCCCUCCCCAACACCCUGGCCAGCACAACAGCCCCAAAGAGCACAGCACUGCCCCCAUCCCUGGGGACCAGCCCCAAGAGCAGGGACAGAAUUAAUGGAAUUAAUCCACCUCAGAACCUCCUGGGCUCUACACCCCGACACAGCCACCUGCAGGGUGGUCAGCAGCUCGGAUGUGUCUCCAGCAGAGGGGAGUGUUGGAACGCGCUGACGGAACUGCGACUCCGCACCUAAAAUCUGUCUUUUCUCCAAAGAAAACAAAGGCACAACCUUGGCGCAGAAGAAAUGGUUUGGUUUUACAUAAUGCUCUGCAGUACCUCCGUGGGGCUUUGGAAAACAUCAGUGUGAACAACAGCUGGAUGCUAUUUCACAACAUAAAAUUUCUCAGAGGGCUAAAGUCAGGUCAUCCUUCUGCAACUGAGGAGAACACCACCCAACAACUUCAAGCAGGAAUUCACCCCAACAGUUUGUAUGUUAGAGACAAAUCAAACCACCCAAAACCACCCAGCUGUGAUCCCUCACAGAAACACUCCUCUGUGUGUUGCCGACAGAAAGAAAAUUAAACCCAUCAUUUCUCAGGCUGGGACAGCUCUAUUUGUCUGCACAAGCGGAGAAAACAACAAAUACCAUAAUGCUCUAGAGCCAUCUUGAGUUCAGGACGAAAAUUCUUCACUCAGAAAGCAAACUGAACAAGCUGCAAGGCUGAGACUUCGUGUUGGAAGCUUUGGCAGGGAACGGUGGGGUGGGAUCCCAGGGAGAGGCAACCUUGCCAGUUCAACCCCCCAGCAAACACUUUCCUGCUUGGCAGACACAUCCUUCUACCACAGCCCUUUGCAAAGAGGAAAACAGAGCUGCAGCUCCCUGAUCCCACCCCAAACCCCU
Cyanistes caeruleus (blue tit) is the source of this 2155-nucleotide non-coding RNA. NCBI's taxonomy places the organism in Eukaryota, Metazoa, Chordata, Aves, Passeriformes, Paridae. The record is from RefSeq and is a predicted model, not a curated record.